RNAcentral lists this transfer RNA (72 nucleotides) under Loxodonta africana (African savanna elephant). It matches the Rfam family "tRNA". From Rfam's summary of the family: Transfer RNA (tRNA) molecules are approximately 80 nucleotides in length. Their secondary structure includes four short double-helical elements and three loops (D, anti-codon, and T loops). Lineage: Eukaryota; Metazoa; Chordata; Mammalia; Proboscidea; Elephantidae. The record is from Rfam by way of RNAcentral.
GCCCUUGUGGCGCAGUGGUAAAGCAUUCGGCUGCUAACUGAGAGGUUGGCGGUUUGAACCCCCCCGGUGGCU